Molecule: ribosomal RNA, 557 nt
Filed under: uncultured archaeon
Lineage: Archaea
Description: bacterial SSU rRNA
Rfam family: Archaeal small subunit ribosomal RNA
Source: RNAcentral
GUACGGGUUGUGAGAGCAAGAGCCCGGAGAUGGAUUCUGAGACACGAAUCCAGGCCCUACGGGGUGCAGCAGGCGCGAAAACUUUACAAUGCUGGCAACAGCGAUAAGGGAACCUCGAGUGCCAGGUUACAAAUCUGGCUGUCGAGAUGCCUAAAAAGCAUUUCAUAGCAAGGGCCGGGCAAGACCGGUGCCAGCCGCCGCGGUAACACCGGCGGCUCGAGUGGUAACCGUUAUUAUUGGGUCUAAAGGGUCUGUAGCCGGCCGGAUAAGUCUCUUGAGAAAUCUGGCAGCUUAACUGUCAGGCUUUCAGGAGAUACUGUCUGGCUCGAGGCCGGGAGAGGUGAGAGGUACUUCAGGGGUAGGGGUGAAAUCUUGUAAUCCUUGAAGGACCACCAGUGGCGAAGGCGUCUCACCAGAACGGACCUAACGGCAAGGGACGAAAGCUAGGGGCACGAACCGGAUUAGAUACCCGGGUAGUCCUAGCCGUAAACGAUACUCGCUAGGUGUCGGCCACGGUGCGACCGUUGUCGGUGCCGUAGGGAAGCCGUGAAGCGAGC